This 1452-nucleotide ribosomal RNA is filed under the name Methanosarcinales archaeon. Its description in RNAcentral is "bacterial SSU rRNA". It matches the Rfam family "Archaeal small subunit ribosomal RNA". Lineage: Archaea; Methanobacteriati; Methanobacteriota; Methanomicrobia; Methanosarcinales. The record is from RNAcentral.
AUUCUCGUUGAUCCUGCGAGAGAUUUCCGCUAGAGGGGUUGGAUUAAGCCAUGAAAGUGUGUUAGACUUGUUCUGACCGCGGAAUGCUGAGUAACACGUCACUAAUCUGCCUUAUGGCUUCUAAUAAUCUCGGGAAACUGAGUGUAAAGGAAAUAGUUAUUUUAUGCUGGAAUGCUUAAAUAAUGAACAUAAGAUGAGGUGGCGGCCGAUUAGAUUGUUGGUGAGGUAAUGGCUCACCAAGUCAAAGAUCGGUAGGGGUCGUGAGAGCGAUGACCUCCAGAAGGACACUGAGAUAAGGGUCCUAGCCCUAAGGGGUGCAGCAGGCGCGAAAACUCUACAAUGCACGCAAGUGUGAUAGGGCAACCCCUCGUGCUUAUCUAACGGUAGGCUUUUAUUAUGUGUAAUGAGCAUGAUGAAUAAGUGGUGGGCAAGACCGGUGCCAGCAGCCGCGGUAAUACCGGCGCCACGAGUGGAGAUCAUUAUUAUUGGGUCUAAAGUGUUCGUAGCUGGUUUUGUAAGUCUUUUGUGAAAGUUCUGUGGCUUAACCCAGAAUUUGCAAAAGAUACUGCAUGACUUGAGACCGGAAGAGGUGUGAAGUAUUGUUUGGGUAGCGGUAAAAUGCUAUAAUCCUUACAAGACUAACUAAGGCGAAGGCAUCACACUUUGACGGAUCUGACAGUGAGGAACGAGAGCCAGGGUAGCGAACCGGAUUAGAUACCCGGGUAGUCCUGGCCGUAAACGCUGCGGGUUACGCUUUGCUAAAUCUACGAGAUUUAGCAGGGGGGUAGCGAAGGCAUUAAACCCGCCACCUGGGGAGUACAGCCGCAAGGCCGAAACUUAAAGGAAUUGCCGGGGGAGUACUACAAGGGGUGCGGCGUGCGGUUUAAUUGGAUUAUACACCGAGAAUCUUACCAGGGGCGACAGCACAAUGAAGGUCAGAUUAAAGGUUUUACCUAAGACGCUGAGAGGUGCUGCAUGGCCGCCGUCAGCUCGUGCUGUAAGGUGUCCUCUUAAGUGAGGAAACGAGCAAGACCCAUGUUUAUAAUUACUAUCUGGGUUAGCCAGAGUACAUUAUAGAGACUGCCUUGGAAACAAGGAGGAAGGUGUGGGCCACGGUAGGUCUGUAUAGCCCGAAUCUCCUGGGCUACACGCGCGCAACAAUGGCUAGGACAAUAAGUCGCCACUCCGAAAGGAGGAGCUAAUCUUUAAACCUAGUCUAAGUUUAGAUCGAGGCUUGUAACUCAGCCUCGUGACAUCGGAAUCCCUAGUAACCGGACUUUAUCAGAGUCCGGUGAAUAUGUCCAUUCUCCUUGGACACACUGCCCGUCAAACCAACCAAGUAGGGCUGAGAUGAGGUGUUCUUUUUUUGAGGACAUCGAGUCUUAGUUCUGUGAGGGGGGUUAAGUCGUCACAAGGUAUCCGUAGGGGAACCUGCGGAUGGAUCACCUCCUU